AGUUUCUGGAACACCGGCGUGACUGCCCGUCUGCCAAAUAUUCCACUCCUCCUGCCCGGUGGAAGUGCAUGCUGAAGACAAGUCUCCUUCAGUGUUCUGAAUGAGAGGCUCCUAUCCGGCCUCCCAUUUUCUUGCUUUGGAGUAACAAUCUCAUUUGUAGCGCCUGCUACCGUGGUGAUAUCAGCACCUACGGCUACAGGCACUGUACUGAGCUUGAGUACCUCCUCCGAGCUAUAAAGGUCAAAUGCAUUGCCUGCAAACAAUACUUUCCAUUCUCCUGGUUGGGGUUGCGCCAGGUGGGCGAUUGCCCAUUCAAGUGUGAAUUGCAAAACAUCGCCCCAGGCUCGAGUGCCCCAAAAAAGUUAUGUGAUGAAGAGGAAACCGAGAGACCUAUGGCCGGCAACAAUAGUAUCCAUGGGAAAAGUAAGUGAAAGGUUCAUUUUGAGGUUGGUAAAAUGGGCAAGCACAUUUUUCACGGUGAUGAGGUUGCGAGUGAUGAUGACUCAUAUGAUGCUUCAUAUGAUGACAACCAUGUAAGUUUAUUUGUGAUUAAACCACUGAUAUGCAGCUUCAUGGCUCACUCUUGUGUUUUGUUUGCUUGCUUGCUCACUGUAGCCUGAGUGUCAAAAGAGUGGCUGAGCAGGCCUUUAAGACACCUUGUGAUAAGAAAGGAAAGAUUGCAAUGCCAUAUGGGCAGAAAACAAGUACUUGCUCACCUGCUGAGUUUAUCUAACAUGCUUUCUCUAUGGGUUAAUUAUAUAUGUGCCAUGUUAGUGUUGGCUUACUAGAGAAUAUUGUUAUGGGCAUGCUAUGUUCACAUACGUUUAAGCGCUGAACUCUGUAAUAAGCAUGUAAGAUUACAUUAUAGCUGUGUUCCUUGUUAGCAUAGAAUAAGGUAUUGAUUAUCUUAAACUCAGCCAGAUUUUUUUACGACAACACUGUUUUGGGUUUUUUUGGGAUGUCAUGGUAUUUUUCACCAUACAUAAUCCACAUCCAAUAAAAGAUCUUGUUUCACCAU
Long non-coding RNA from Panicum virgatum (switchgrass), 1018 nucleotides. RefSeq lists it as uncharacterized. The transcript is spliced from 4 exons. The record is from RefSeq and is a predicted model, not a curated record. Lineage: Eukaryota; Viridiplantae; Streptophyta; Magnoliopsida; Poales; Poaceae.